AGAAUCAACGCUGGCGGCGUGCCUAACACAUGCAAGUCGAACGAGAAAGUGGAGCAAUCCAUGAGUAAAGUGGCGCACGGGUGAGUAACACGUGACUAACCUACCCUUGAGUGGGGAAUGACUUCGGGAAACCGAGGCUAAUACCGCAUAACACCUACGGGUCAAAGGAGCAAUUCGCUUAAGGAGGGGGUCGCGGCAGAUUAGUUAGUUGGUAGGGUAAUGGCCUACCAAGACGGUGAUCUGUA
This 245-nucleotide ribosomal RNA is filed under the name uncultured bacterium. RNAcentral's name for it is "partial small subunit ribosomal RNA". It matches the Rfam family "Bacterial small subunit ribosomal RNA", at positions 26 to 285 of the family's 1533-position model. The record is from RNAcentral.